CCUACGGGAGGCAGCAGUGAGGAAUAUUGGUCAAUGGGCGGAAACCUGAACCAGCCAAGUAGCGUGCGGGAUGAAGGUACUAAGGGUUGUAAACCUCUUUUGCACGGGGACAAAAUCGGCCACGGGUGGCCGUAUGAAGGUACCGGGAGAAAAAGCGUCGGCUAACUCCGUGCCAGCAGCCGCGGUAAUACGGAGGGUGCGAGCGUUAUCCGGAUUUAUUGGGUUUAAAGGGUGCGAAGGCGGCGUGUCAAGUCAGCGGUAAAAUGGCGGGGCUCAACCCCGGCCGGCCGUGGAAACUGGCGUGCUUGAGUUGGAGAGAAGUAGGCGGAAUUCGUGGUGUAGCGGUGAAAUGCAUAGAUAUCACGAAGAACCCCGAUUGCGAAGGCAGCAUACCGG
Molecule: ribosomal RNA, 396 nt
Filed under: uncultured bacterium
Lineage: Bacteria
Description: partial 16S ribosomal RNA
Rfam family: Bacterial small subunit ribosomal RNA
Source: RNAcentral